RNAcentral lists this ribosomal RNA (501 nucleotides) under uncultured bacterium. RNAcentral describes it as "partial 16S ribosomal RNA". It matches the Rfam family "Bacterial small subunit ribosomal RNA", at positions 30 to 523 of the family's 1533-position model. The record is from RNAcentral.
AUUGAACGCUGGCGGCAGGCUUAACACAUGCAAGUCGAGCGGGGGAAGGUAGCUUGCCACUGGACCUAGCGGCGGACGGGUGAGUAAUGCUUAGGAAUCUGCCUAUUAGUGGGGGACAACAUCUCGAAAGGGAUGCUAAUACCGCAUACGUCCUACGGGAGAAAGCAGGGGAUCUUCGGACCUUGCGCUAAUAGAUGAGCCUAAGUCGGAUUAGCUAGUUGGUGGGGUAAAGGCCUACCAAGGCGACGAUCUGUAGCGGGUCUGAGAGGAUGAUCCGCCACACUGGGACUGGGACACGGCCCAGACUCCUACGGGAGGCAGCAGUGGGGAAUAUUGGACAAUGGGGGGAACCCUGAUCCAGCCAUGCCGCGUGUGUGAAGAAGGCCUUAUGGUUGUAAAGCACUUUAAGCGAGGAGGAGGCUACUUUAGUUAAUACCUAGAGAUUGUGGACGUUACUCGCAGAAUAAGCACCGGCUAACUCUGUGCCAGCCGCCGCGGUAA